AAAACAAUCCAAGAGUAGUAGUACUACAACCAGCCUCACUACGUGAGCAUCUUCACAAUGAGUGUGUGCGUGCUUCACUUGUGUCCUGAUAGCUUCAGUUAGCUGCAAUAUAGAUCCUCUUUGCCUCUGAUCCUCGGCGGUUCUGCCAGUAGAUUGUUUGGGCUAACAGAGCAGAGGAGGAAGAAGAGGUUGCCGGGCUCGCUGCGGUGGCUCCAGGCUUGCGCCGGUCGAAGCUUAAGAUAUAGUCUACAACAGCGGUUCGAUCCGACACGGCUGGGAGUCCUCGCGGUGGCGGUGGCCAUGGGAUCGACGGAGGACGGCCACGAGGGCACUCGGUCCACGGAUCUGGGGGAGAGGAGGGGCGGAGCGAGCGAUGGAGAGGGAGGGAGAGUGGAUAGGGAUGGAGGGGAGGCCGAGGGAAGGUCAUUAUCCUCUUGGCGGCGCUGUAGCGACGCGGGGCGGCUAGCGGGUGCGGUGGCGACGGCGAGCAGCGUCGGGCGCGCGCGUGCAUGGUGACACGGGGAGGAGGGAGCGCGCGGGGCAGGCUGGGCUGGCUGGGCCUGCCACUGUGCACUAAGGCCCAGUCAGUCGAGGCCUUUUUCUUUUCUGUCUAUUUCUUCUUUGUUUCAUGUUUUUAUUUCUGUUUUGCUAAUUGUUUAGCCUCUAAACUACUUUUGUAAAAUGUGAAACUUGGUACGAAUAUUACAGUACAAUAUUACCUGCCACCAAAAACUUGCUUGGGUAAAAUACAAUUUCAUUUGUAGAUUGGGUUUUUAAAAAAAGGAUUAACAUGUGUUGUUUGACUACUGUUUUAGGUUGUUAGAGUCACUUAAGUAUUUUAGGUGAUGUUGUUUUCCUAAACAUAAUUAGAAAUAGAUUAGUUACUAUUUAAUGAACAUUUUAGGUUCAAUUUGAACAACUUUUAUUUUUCACUUUAAAUCUAAAUUGCAAUUUGCAUUGGAAUUUGAAAAGAGACAAGAUGCAAUGAUGAUCAAGCAUAGUUAAUCAUGGUGACUUGGCAUGGUCAGAGGGUGAUCACUGUUGUGUAAGGCUGGGGAUGUUACAAGUCUCCUCCACUACAAGAAAUCUCGUCCCGGGAUUUAAGUAGAGGAGAAGAGGGUAACUGCGGAGGGACUAACCGUUUGCAAGGUUGAUUAUCUGACAGAUAACUUAGAGAAUGUGGUAGAAAGAGUAUCUCGAGUUGAAACUUAGGGGAACAUCUAGAGCAAAGGUAAGAAGUUUCAAUAAGAAGUUUCAAGUGAAUGUUCAUCCGGUCGUUAUCUGAAGGGAGCAAGAAAAGGGGGUUCAGAGCAUCAGAAAUAGAUCAUCUCUCGGAAAGUGGCUCGCGAAAUACAUACGAAGUCAAGCGAGAGGAAUAACUUUGGGAACAGGGAGGUACAAGAGAGUCAAGUUCUGAUCCUGUGGAACUGUGGGUUAUGGGCCCACCAUGUGGCUUAAGAGUAGAAAGAGUGGUGACAUCUUGCACGGUCAUGAUAGCAAGGUAUGUCAGAGCAUAGCAUGUCAGUUCUGUUGGCAACAGCAUCGGUACCAAGGGCAAGGGACGAAGAGAACCAUUUUCCUGCUCGUUGAAACGAGGCGGACCAAUAGGCAAAGUUCUCAUCCAUCGGUGGUUACCGAAAUGUCAUCAACAAUAGUAAUAGGGUCUUAUUGACCGAGUUGUACUUUGAGGUGUUUACCUACGCAGGGAAUUAUCCCUGCUCGGAUAAGUUAGAUUAUAGGAAAAGUUAAAGAAAACAAUGGAAAGGAAAAUAUGAUUAGUAUAUUAAUCAUACCAACGGAAAGGAAAAUGUGUUUGUAUCCGAGUAUCAAGAGUAUACCUUUCCCAAAGAAAGGCAGAGCAUGAUAUACAUGAUGGGACUCCAAAUAUGAAACCAUGUAGACAAAAAGGGAAAAGAAUUUAUGAGGUUUACCCAUACCACGGUGUUUGGAUAGUUCAUCAAGAAACAUUUAGCAUUGCAUUUCCGAUGUCCUUAUUGACAGUUAGAGUACCACAGUCAUGCUUUGGGGUAGCAUCGACAUGGUCAUCAGAUAAAGGUUGGACCUUGGGAACACAAAGGAUCCAUGCGGACUUUUUUUGAACAUAUCAUGCAAUUUUACCAAUCAAAAAAAUGAGGAUGUGGCUGAUGGGUUAAGCAGCAAUCCAUCGACAUGUCAACAAGAUGUGUUUCCAAAAUUUUAUAUGAACAAGUUUGUGUUGGGGGAGGCAAGAAUGUUGUUCAUGAUAACACAAAUCAUCAAGGGGCAAGGAUGGUAUUUCUCAUCAUGAAUUCAAUUGAUAUCCUGGAAGAUCUCAGAAUGUUGAUGAUGAUCACGACACAUUUGUUGAGAGAUUUCAUGAAGAUGUAAUCAAUCGGUGAUGACAUCAAGUCAAAGGAAUGCUGAAGCAAAAUGUUAUUAGAACCACGAAUAUGACACAAACUCGAAAUCAAACUUGUUGUUUGCAGUAAAAUGAUAAGAUGAGGAAGAUUGACGUAAGAUUAGCUCAUUGUCAGAAGUUGCUCCGGGCAUAAGGACUAGGUAACACAGUUAAAAGUUGGCACGAUAAAAUAUAGCCGAUGAGUCUAGGAAUGAUGUGAUGGGGUAUUAAACUUCCCAGUAACUAGUAUUAGGGGUAAUACCGGAAAGUAAAUCAGAGUAGAGGUUGGACAGGGGAAAUGAUUUGCAGAGGACAAGUAUUUUAACUUAUCCGGGAAAUGGAAUCAAUAAGGAAAUAUGGUCGGAACCACGAUUGCAAAGGAUCAAUUCAUAGAUACAAGAUGAACCUGUACCAAGGAAAUAACUAUUUUUACGAACAUCUUCCAUGAUAAGUUCUACAUCGGGUCCAGUAGCAGCAGAUUACUUAGCUAUGAAGGCAGUAGCAGUAAGUUGGCAAGAUCAUUUUGAUUUUUCUACUAUUGUAGGUCAGCAGUGACGUAGAAGUUGUUGAUGACGUAAGGGCUGAGCUUAAAGCAGCUCAUAUGUCGGUUUGUAAGUGCUAUAUAAACAGCACCACCCCUCCCGUUGUAACUCACUCAAGCCAGCACCAAAACAAUCCAAGAGUAGUAGUACUACAACCAGCCUCACUACGUGAGCAUCUUCACAACGAGUGUGUGCGUGCUUCACUUGUGUCCUGCUAGCUUCAGUUAGCUGCAGUAUAGAUCCUCUUUGCCUCUGAUCCUCGGCGGUUCUACCAGUAGAUUGUUUGGGCUAACAGAGCAGAGGAGGAAGAAGAGGUUGCCGGGCUCGCUGCGGUGGCUCCAGGCUUGCGCCGGUCGAAGCUUAAGAUAUAGUCUACAACAGCGGUUCGAUCCGACACGGCUGGGAGUCCUCGCGGUGGCGGUGGCCAUGGGAUCGACGGAGGACGGCCACGAGGGCACUUGGGCCGCGGAUCUGGAGGAGAGGAGGGGCGGAGCGAGCGAUGGAGAGGGAGGGAGAGUGGAUAGGGAUGGAGGGGAGGCCGAGGGAAGGUCAUUAUCCUCUU
RNAcentral lists this long non-coding RNA (3481 nucleotides) under Triticum aestivum (bread wheat). RNAcentral's name for it is "long non-coding RNA (TAES_LNC007291)". Lineage: Eukaryota; Viridiplantae; Streptophyta; Magnoliopsida; Poales; Poaceae. The record is from RNAcentral.